GACGAACGCUGGCGGUGUGCUUAACACAUGCAAGUCGAACGGUAAGGCCCUUUCGGGGGUACACGAGUGGCGAACGGGUGAGUAACACGUGAGUAACCUGCCCUCAUCUCUGGGAUAACAGUCGGAAACGGUUGCUAAUACUGGAUAUGAGCUUGCAAGGCAUCUUGUGGGUUGGAAAGAUUUUUUUGGUUGGGGAUGGACUCGCGGCCUAUCAGCUUGUUGGUGAGGUAGUGGCUCACCAAGGCUUCGACGGGUAGCCGGCCUGAGAGGGCGACCGGCCACAUUGGGACUGAGAUACGGCCCAAACUCCUACGGGAGGCAGCAGUGGGGAAUAUUGCACAAUGGACGGAAGUCUGAUGCAGCAACGCCGCGUGCGGGAGGACGGCCCUCGGGUUGUAAACCGCUUUCAAUUGUGACGAAGCUUUUUGUGACGGUAGCAGUAGAAGAAGCACCGGCUAACUACGUG
Molecule: ribosomal RNA, 466 nt
Filed under: uncultured bacterium
Lineage: Bacteria
Description: partial 16S ribosomal RNA
Rfam family: Bacterial small subunit ribosomal RNA
Source: RNAcentral